Molecule: transfer RNA, 70 nt
Filed under: Ceraesignum maximum
Lineage: Eukaryota; Metazoa; Mollusca; Gastropoda; Littorinimorpha; Vermetidae
Description: tRNA-Leu
Rfam family: tRNA
About the family: Transfer RNA (tRNA) molecules are approximately 80 nucleotides in length. Their secondary structure includes four short double-helical elements and three loops (D, anti-codon, and T loops). Further hydrogen bonds mediate the characteristic L-shaped molecular structure. tRNAs have two regions of fundamental functional importance: the anti-codon, which is responsible for specific mRNA codon recognition, and the 3' end, to which the tRNAs corresponding amino acid is attached (by aminoacyl-tRNA synthetases). tRNAs cope with the degeneracy of the genetic code in two manners: having more than one tRNA (with a specific anti-codon) for a particular amino acid; and 'wobble' base-pairing, i.e. permitting non-standard base-pairing at the 3rd anti-codon position.
Source: RNAcentral
UUUAAGGUGGCAGAGUAGUGCGUUAGGUUUAAGCCCUAAAUAUGGAAAUUUAGAAUGUUUCCCUUUGUGG